This 497-nucleotide ribosomal RNA is filed under the name uncultured bacterium. RNAcentral's name for it is "partial 16S ribosomal RNA". It matches the Rfam family "Bacterial small subunit ribosomal RNA", at positions 28 to 507 of the family's 1533-position model. The record is from RNAcentral.
GAUGAACGCUGGCGGCGUGCCUAAUACAUGCAAGUCGAGCGAACGGACGAGAAGCUUGCUUCUCUGAUGUUAGCGGCGGACGGGUGAGUAACACGUGGAUAACCUACCUAUAAGACUGGGAUAACUUCGGGAAGCCGGAGCUAAUACCGGAUAAUAUUUUGAACCGCAUGGUUCAAAAGUGAAAGACGGUCUUGCUGUCACUUAUAGAUGGAUCCGGGCUUCAUUAGCUAGUUGGUAAGGUAACGGCUUACCAAGGCAACGAUGCAUAGCCGACCUGAGAGGGUGAUCGGCCACCCUGGAACUGGGACACGGUCCAGACUCCUACGGGAGGCAGCAGUAGGGAAUCUUACGCAAUGGGCGAAAGCCUGACGGAGCAACGCCGCGUGAGUGAUGAAGGUCUUCGGAUCGUAAAACUCUGUUAUUAGGGAAGAACAUAUGUGUAAGUAACUGUGCACAUCUUGACGGUACCUAAUCAGAAAGCCACGGCUAACUACGUG